CUGGUAAAAUGUGAUGUACCUAGUAGUAUUAAUCCUUAAUUAAUAUGAGAUUAACUAAGUUAAUUAAAGUUCUAAGUGGAUAUAUGAUUAUGACAAUAUUUAUUUAUGUCUUGACCAAGUCACGUGCCAGCAGUCGCGGUAAUACGUGGAAGAUUAGUGUUAUUCAUUUUUAACAGGUUUAAAGGGUACCUAGACGGUUAAUUAAGCACUAAAAUGUACUAAUUAACUAGAGUUUAAUGUAAGAAAGAUUGAGUACGGUGAGUGUAGAGAUAAAAUUCUAUGAUACCACUUAGGAACUGGUAAAGGCGAAGGCAACUUUUUAUGUAAAAACUGACGUUAAGGGACGAAGGCUCGUAUCAAAUAACAGGAUUAGAUACCCUAGUAUUGUGGGCAGACAAUGAUGAGUGUCAUAUGCAAGAAAGGAAUCUUUUUUGUGUAUAAAUGAAAGUGUAAGCACUCCACCUCAAGAGUAACGUGGCAACAUGGGAACUGAAAUCAUUAGACCGUUUCUGAAACUCGUAGUGAAGUAUGUUGUUUAAUUUGACACCACACAAAUAACCUUACCACAACUUGUAUAACUACACUAUAUAAUAAUGUAGCUACAAGCGUUGCACGGCUGUCUUCAGUCAAUGUUGUGAAACUGUGGUUAGAUCCAUUAAAUUGACGUAAACCCUUACUUUAUUUUAAAUAAAGUAGUUCGCCGCUAUA
Molecule: ribosomal RNA, 708 nt
Filed under: Wirthiotrema desquamans
Lineage: Eukaryota; Fungi; Ascomycota; Lecanoromycetes; Ostropales; Graphidaceae
Description: SSU rRNA
Rfam family: Bacterial small subunit ribosomal RNA
Source: RNAcentral